Molecule: ribosomal RNA, 429 nt
Filed under: Acidobacteriota bacterium
Lineage: Bacteria; Pseudomonadati; Acidobacteriota
Description: Acidobacteria bacterium partial 16S ribosomal RNA
Rfam family: Bacterial small subunit ribosomal RNA
Source: RNAcentral
UGGGGAAUUUUGGACAAUGGGGGAAACCCUGAUCCAGCCAUCCCGCGUGUGCGAUGAAGGCCUUCGGGUUGUAAAGCACGUUUGGCAGGAAAGAAACGUCAUGGGUUAAUACCCCGUGAAACUGACGGUACCUGCAGAAUAAGCACCGGCUAACUACGUGCCAGCAGCCGCGGUAAUACGUAGGGUGCAAGCGUUAAUCGGAAUUACUGGGCGUAAAGCGUGCGCAGGCGGUUCGGAAAGAAAGAUGUGAAAUCCCAGAGCUCAACUUUGGAACUGCAUUUUGAACUACCGGGCUAGAGUGUGUCAGAGGGAGGUGGAAUUGCGCGUGUAGCAGUGAAAUGCGUAGAUAUGCGGAGGAACACCGAUGGCGAAGGCAGCCUCCUGGGAUAACACUGACGCUCAUGCACGAAAGCGUGGGGAGCAAACAGG